AGAGUUUGAUCCUGGCUCAAGAUGAACGCCGGCGGUGUGCCUAAUACAUGCAAGUCGUACGCACUGGCCCAACUGAUUGAUGGUGCUUGCACCUGAUUGACGAUGGAUCACCAGUGAGUGGCGGACGGGUGAGUAACACGUAGGUAACCUGCCCCGGAGCGGGGGAUAACAUUUGGAAACAGAUGCUAAUACCGCAUAACAACAAAAGCCACAUGGCUUUUGUUUGAAAGAUGGCCUUGGCUAUCACUCUGGGAUGGACCUGCGGUGCAUUAGCUAGUUGGUAAGGUAACGGCUUACCAAGGCGAUGAUGCAUAGCCGAGUUGAGAGACUGAUCGGCCACAAUGGAACUGAGACACGGUCCAUACUCCUACGGGAGGCAGCAGUAGGGAAUCUUCCACAAUGGGCGCAAGCCUGAUGGAGCAACACCGCGUGAGUGAAGAAGGGUUUCGGCUCGUAAAGCUCUGUUGUUGGAGAAGAACGUGCGUGAGAGUAACUGUUCACGCAGUGACGGUAUCCAACCAGAAAGUCACGGCUAACUACGUGCCAGCAGCCGCGGUAAUACGUAGGUGGCAAGCGUUAUCCGGAUUUAUUGGGCGUAAAGCGAGCGCAGGCGGUUGCUUAGGUCUGAUGUGAAAGCCUUCGGCUUAACCGAAGAAGUGCAUCGGAAACCGGGCGACUUGAGUGCAGAAGAGGACAGUGGAACUCCAUGUGUAGCGGUGGAAUGCGUAGAUAUAUGGAAGAACACCAGUGGCGAAGGCGGCUGUCUGGUCUGCAACUGACGCUGAGGCUCGAAAGCAUGGGUAGCGAACAGAAGUAGACACCCUGGUAGUCCAUACCGUAAACGAUGAGUAAUAGGUGUUGGAGGGUUUCCGCCCUUCAGUGCCGGAGCUAAACGCAUUAAGCACUCCGCCUGGGGAGUACGACCGCAAGGUUGAAACUCAAAGGAAUUGACGGGGGCCCGCACAAGCGGUGGAGCAUGUGGUUUAAUUCGAAGCUACGCGAAGAACCUUACCAGGUCUUGACAUCUUGCGCUAACCUUAGAGAUAAGGCGUUCCCUUCGGGGAAGCAAUGACAGGUGGUGCAUGGUCGUCGUCAGCUCGUGUCGUGAGAUGUUGGGUUAAGUCCCGCAACGAGCGCAACCCUUGUUACUAGUUGCCAGCAUUAAGUUGGGCACUCUAGUGAGACUGCCGGUGACAAACCGGAGGAAGGUGGGGACGACGUCAGAUCAUCAUGCCCCUUAUGACCUGGGCUACACACGUGCUACAAUGGACGGUACAACGAGUCGCAAGCUCGCGAGAGUAAGCUAAUCUCUUAAAGCCGUUCUCAGUUCGGACUGUAGGCUGCAACUCGAAUACACGAAGUCGGAAUCGCUAGUAAUCGCGGAUCAGCAUGCCGCGGUGAAUACGUUCCCGGGCCUUGCACUAACCGCCCGUCA
This 1435-nucleotide ribosomal RNA is filed under the name uncultured bacterium. Its description in RNAcentral is "bacterial SSU rRNA". It matches the Rfam family "Bacterial small subunit ribosomal RNA". The record is from RNAcentral.